RNAcentral lists this non-coding RNA (375 nucleotides) under Pan troglodytes (chimpanzee). The record is from RNAcentral. RNAcentral also lists the same sequence under 1 other name. Lineage: Eukaryota; Metazoa; Chordata; Mammalia; Primates; Hominidae.
GUUCCAGGAGCCCCAGUUACCGGGAGAGGCUGUGUCAAAGAAUGAAUGGAACGCCUACUAUGAGGAGGUGGUGUACGUCCUAGAGGAGAUCGAGUACAUGAUCCAGAAGCUCCCUGAGUGGGCCGCGGAUGAGCCCGUGGAGAAGACGCCCCAGACUCAGCAGGACGAGCUCUACAUCCACUCGGAGCCACUGGGCGUGGUCCUCGUCAUUGGCACCUGGAACUACCCCUUCAACCUCACCAUCCAGCCCAUGGUGGGCGCCAUCGCUGCAGGACACACAAUGGAGGGGAGGCUUCAGGUGUGGUCCUUGGGAGGGCAGAGCCUCUGGUGAAGUACCCUGGGCAUAGGCCUGGCUCGGUGUGCUCUGCAGGGAAC